GGGAUCGGGUGCUUGCGUUGCAAGCGCGCAUGUUAGCCAUUAAAUCAAAACAGUACAGUAUGUGGUUGUAAUUUCAAUCUUUUUUGCACGGUGACGAAUUAAUUAUAAAAUCAUGGAGAUCUGUCGACAGGUUGAAAUUAACACUGAGCCAAGCCUCCCCCUUUCAUCACUACGUCUUCUUGUGCCCCCCUUGAGGCUGCUGUCUGCUGCCAUGUGGAAAGUGGCUAAACAGAAAGAUGUGAUGAGUUAUGAGAAACUUCAAGAGUUUGUCUUUAUGGUGACAGAGACCAUCCCGGGGCUGAUAACCUGCAAACAGAGGGCUCAGCUCAUUCUCGGUCUGAGAGCGAGGCUCAUUUUGGAAUUAUGUAAAGGUUCCAUUCGUGGUACCAUUGACCCUCAUGCGAUCCAAAGCCACCUGGAAAGGCUGCCAAUAAGUUCUGCAGAUAGUGAUGUAAGCAAUGGGCAGGCUUUUUUUUUUUUCAUAUUGAGAGUUUUAUUGUUUAUUUUUACAAUUAUACAAAACACACAUUUGACAAGGAACUAACUGAUGAAGGCUCUUGGAUGAGAGGCGAAACGUCUUCACGGAUAUAUACCAAGUCCAGUUGCACUUGAUUCAAUUCCUUUGGAUAACCAUGACCUGGAUGAAUGAGAACAUUCACAGACACGACAAGGAACUAAAAAAAAACACUACAAAACAAAAUAACAAAACAGAAAUAAAGAUAAUGGGGGGGUGACACCCAGAACCUGCA
Lampris incognitus (smalleye Pacific opah) is the source of this 749-nucleotide long non-coding RNA. RefSeq lists it as uncharacterized. The transcript has 3 exons. Lineage: Eukaryota; Metazoa; Chordata; Actinopteri; Lampriformes; Lampridae. The record is from RefSeq and is a predicted model, not a curated record.